GUCAUUCUUUUGAACGUCUUUAAAUGGGUUUUAUUUUCACAUAGUUUAUUCAUCACAGUUCAUUUGGUUUAAAUUUGGUGCUUUUUUUGGUGUUUUUUUGUCUUUCAUCUUUCCCCCUUAACGGCGUUUCACCGGUGGCGUGGCUCCCCUGCAGCUUUGAUGACAUCAGCCUGGCUGUGGGGGAAAAGGUCGGGCCCAGCAGUGUUAAAUCGGCUGCUCAGAUUAACAGCUCCGUGGUCAUUUUCCUGGAACAGACGGAUAAGGUGAACUGAGUCACUCAGAUUGAACGAAAGUUUUGUAUAGUGCUACCGCUUUCACAUCUCCCGCCCCUUCAUAACCGAUGAGUUUCUCAAUAGAGAGCUUUCCGGACAAGGAGCACUGCUGUGGGGUCGGUCGCCUCAUCUUAUGUGCCGUUUGCCGCUCUGUGGGCAUUAAUGCGAAGAACCACUACUGUGUCCAACCCAGUGCACGGGUUUCACCUUGUGACAGAGAGAGGAGCUGGACUCUGAUCCUGAUCCUCCAAACUACAGGCUUCAAUCUUGAGUCCCAAGAUGACGUUGCAUGCACACUGGAAUUCGUUCAAAGGACAUUCAUGGGGAUAAAUCUUGACAGAGGCAUUAAGGCUGGAUGGGUCAAAGUCUGGGGAAGGUCACCCAGAAAAAGAUGGCAUCAGUCAACCCUUGUGUCUCCAGUCUACUAAAGAAAUUAAGGACUUUGAGUGAGACUCUACAUAAGUCAGUUCACACUCUCACUCACACACACACUGUCAGUGUCUUAGCCACACUCUUUGUCUUAAAAUUUUAAGUUGCAAUUUCAAAGACUGUGUUUAUUCAAUGUAUUAAAAUAUAGUUUUAUAGCAAGACUGCAAAGGAAAAAUUUAUCAACUCAUAAAGUUUUGGGAAAUAAAUGUAGUUCUUUUUAUUAACAGGUAAUUUAUCAAUAGCUUAUACUGCAGCAUGUUUUAUAUAUGUACUACCGUUAACAGUGAAAAUCUGCAAAUAUAGCUCCUGUGAAAAAAGUGUAAAUAAAUAAACUGCCAAUUCUUCAUCAGUAUUUUACUGUAAAAGUAAGCUUUUUGCUGUAUUUACAAAAACGGUAGCAAACUGUAAAUACCAGCAACAGCAUGGUACCGUUAAUUUUACAGUAAAAUAAUGGCAACCCUGCUUCCAGUUGUUUACUGUUUUUAACGGCAAAAACAUUUUUACAGUCUACAUCAAGUUGUUGUUUUUUUUUAUUUCUUUUUAAUGCACUUAUCAUCCAAACCUAUGAUCCGACCAGCAUGUUCUUUUUUUAGAACCGAACCUGGAAAUUAAAUUAAAACAAAAUACCAGCCACAAAUUACUGUUUUUGUGGGUCACCAGGACUUUGCAGUACUCUAGGCAAGACUCAGAGUUGUAUUUCAAAUCCAAAAAACAAACAAACAAAAAAAUUAUUUAAUUUAUAUGUCCUAAUUCGGUCUAUAUUUGUCUACCGCUAACUGUUUUUCAAUUUAAUGUGGUUGCGCAUGCAUGUUCACCAGCAACCGUGGUUGUUACAAGCAUGCUCAUUGACAGAAUUGACAUCAGCAAUAAAAACACAGUCAUACUUUUGUAAAAAUACAGUGCCAUCUGGGAAUACAGUAUUUGAUUUUCAGUUGUUCAGUACUUAAUCUUUUCCUUAGUCCUUGUCAGUUUGCUGUUGAGCAGUUGGGAGUAAGUUUAUCAGAGAUUUUUCACAGAAAAAAGCCAACUGCUCCUGCUAGAAAAUUGGGUGAUUGGAGCGCUGAGGCUGAACCUAAAUAAUAAAGUUUAUAUAAAUAAACUUUAGUUUGUAGUUCAGGACAGUUCAGCACUCACUGAACCUGAGACCUUCUGGCACCAGAAAGGAUUCCUGUAACUGCUACCCUACCCUGAGCUCUAUCCCGGGAUGCCAAAUUCCAAAACAGCACUAGCAGAUAGGAAGUUUAUCUUCUGAAGCAGAUUAAUCAUUAUUUGUUUCUCAUAAGUGUGUUUUAGGGAAAGUGGUGUGUGAUUGACACAUCUGCUAAUAACAGUUAUCACAUUAUCACACAGCCUUGUUCCCUGCCUACAGACCAACAUUAGUAAAGAUUGGCUCUUUGUCAUUUAUUGAUAUCUGAUCUCAGGCUGCUUACACAGACUGUCAUCGGUUGCCAUGUCGGACAUUGUCUGGCCCACCCUAAUGUGUUUCACCUGUGUUCAAUCAUCCUUGCGUCCCUUGUGUCUGUUUAGUCUCUGUGCUCCUCUUUGUCUGUCAGUUCAUCUGUUCAAGUCCCCUGUGCUUCUGUUGAAGUUCCCUGUGUUUCUGCUUCCUGUUCUGUAAGUUCUUCUGUUUAUUAAACAUUUUUCACAUCUCCCUUG
Molecule: long non-coding RNA, 2357 nt
Organism: Seriola aureovittata
Lineage: Eukaryota; Metazoa; Chordata; Actinopteri; Carangiformes; Carangidae
Exons: 4
Source: RefSeq, a predicted model, not a curated record